GGGUGGAGCAGGAAGGGUGGAGGAAGAAGAAAAAUUAUCUUUAAUAUAUGUAGAUGAUUGCAGAUUGAGAAGGAAUCAGCACCUGGGCAGAGCACAAUAAUUAAUAAUGACCCUAGGAAAUUAGGGAAGCCAAGUGAUCGGAAGCCAAAAAUGAAGUUCAUAAGAAUAAAUCUGGGAAAGAGAAACAAACUAUAUCACUUCAAGAUAGAGAAGAACUAGGUAAAGAUUUCCAGCACUCUCAACUUGCUUAGGACUCCUACCUCUGCUCUGUACCCCACACGUGGUAAUGACACCUUAGAUUACUCCUGAAACUCUGGCUCAAGAGAGGACAGAAAUGCUUUUCCUUGGUUUCCAUAAGCACAGCUGAAGUGGGCUGGUGUUUACAAAGAGACUUUAUUAAAAACUGUAGGAAAACUAGAAAUAGAAACAGAACACAUGAAAACAGCUGAGCUUACACAGCAUAAGUUUCUGAUUAUACUACAGCAAGCAUGUUCUCAGGGCUUAUAGGUCCAACCCUGCUUUCAUCCUUCCGAGG
This 535-nucleotide long non-coding RNA is filed under the name Pan troglodytes (chimpanzee). RNAcentral's name for it is "long non-coding RNA NONPTRT003483". Lineage: Eukaryota; Metazoa; Chordata; Mammalia; Primates; Hominidae. The record is from RNAcentral.